Molecule: ribosomal RNA, 1199 nt
Filed under: metagenome
Description: bacterial SSU rRNA
Rfam family: Bacterial small subunit ribosomal RNA
Source: RNAcentral
UGGCGCUGAUAUCGCCCUUAACACAUGCAAGUCGAACCAGAAAGGGAGCAAUCCUGAGUAAAGUGGCGUACUGGUGAGUAACACGUGGAUAUCUACCUCCUGGUGGGGAAUAACCUGGGGAAACCUGGGCUAAUACCGCAUAAGUUCGAGAGAAGAAAGGCGCAAGUCGCCGGGAGAGGAGUCCGCGGUCGAUUAGGUAGUUGGCGGGGUAGAAGCCCACCAAGCCAAAGAUCGAUAGCCGGCCUGAGAGGGCACACGGCCACACUGGCACUGAAACACGGGCCAGACUCCUACGGGAGGCAGCAGUGGGGAAUCUUGCACAAUGGGGGAAACCCUGAUGCAGCGACGCCGCGUGAGCGAUGAAGCCCUUCGGGGUGUAAAGCUCUUUCGGCAGGAACGAUAAUGACGGUACCUGCAGAAGAAGCUGCGGCUAACUACGUGCCAGCAGCCGCGGUAAUACGUAGGCAGCGAGCGUUGUUCGGAAUUACUGGGCGUAAAGAGUGUGUAGGUGGUGUCGUAAGUUUGGUGUGAAAUCUCCCGGCUUAACUGGGAGGGUGCGCCGAAGGCUGCGAUGCUGGAGUAAGGGAGAGGAAAGCGGAAUUCCUGGUGUAGCGGUGAAAUGCGUAGAUAUCAGGAGGAACACCUGCGGUGUAGACGGCUUUCUGGACCAUUACUGACACUGAGACACGAAAGCGUGGGUAGCAAACAGGAUUAGAUACCCUGGUAGUCCACGCCCUAAACGAUGCAUACUUGGUGUGAGCCAUUCAGUUGGUUCGUGCCGGAGCUAACGCGUUAAGUAUGCCGCCUGGGGAGUACGGUCGCAAGGCUGAAACUCAAAGAAAUUGACGGGGGCCCGCACACAAGCGGCGGAGCAUGUUGCUUAAUUCGACGCAACGCGAAGAACCUUACCAAGGUUUGACAUCGCCCGGAAAGCCUCAGAGAUGAGGCCCUCUUCGGACUGGGUGACAGGUGGUGCAUGGCUGUCGUCAGCUCGUGUCGUGAGAUGUUGGGUUAAGUCCCGCAACGAGCGCAACCCUUGUUCCAUGUUGCCAGCAACACCUUUCGGGGUGGUUGGGGACUCAUGGGAGACUGCCGGGGUCAACUCGGAGGAAGGUGGGGAUGACGUCAAGUCAUCAUGCCCCUUAUGUCUUGGGCUGCAAACAUGCUACAAUGGCCGGUACAGAGGGUUGCGAUACCGC